CCUCUGGAUUCAUGGUCCCAUGCAAUCAUUAUGGACAACUAGGUGCUUUUGGAAAAUGGUGCUUCAAAAGCCUUUAUAAAGCGAUGGGCCCAUUAAUUAUUGCUUCAAGUAUUAGAUACAGAGGUUGUCGCUCCCCCAAAGGGAAUCGAAUUGAGGGAACGCCCCUCACUAACGGAUAGCCGUUGUGGAAAUGAGCUGGC
RNAcentral lists this long non-coding RNA (200 nucleotides) under Elaeis guineensis (African oil palm). Its description in RNAcentral is "long non-coding RNA (EGUI_LNC023133)". Lineage: Eukaryota; Viridiplantae; Streptophyta; Magnoliopsida; Arecales; Arecaceae. The record is from RNAcentral.